RNAcentral lists this ribosomal RNA (473 nucleotides) under uncultured Sphingobacteriales bacterium. RNAcentral describes it as "bacterial SSU rRNA". It matches the Rfam family "Bacterial small subunit ribosomal RNA", at positions 907 to 1382 of the family's 1533-position model. The record is from RNAcentral. Lineage: Bacteria; Pseudomonadati; Bacteroidota; Sphingobacteriia; Sphingobacteriales.
GAAUUGACGGGGCCCGCACAAGCGGAGGAACAUGUGGUUAAUUCGAUGAUACGCGAGGAACUUACCUGGGCUUAAAGUGUAGAGUGCAUUUUUUAGAGAUAGAAAUUCCCUUCGGGGCUUUCUGCAAGGUGCUGCAUGGUUGUCGUCAGCUUGUGCCGUGAGGUGUCGGGUUAAGUCCCAUAACGAGCGCAACCCUUAUCGUUAGUUGCCAGCUGGUAAAGCAGGGGACUCUAGCGAAACUGCCACCGUAAGGUGAGAGGAAGGUGGGGAUGACGUCAAAUCAGCACGGCCCUUAUGUCCAGGGCUACACACGUGUUACAAUGGCCGGCACAGAGGGCAGCUACCUGGUGACAGGAUGCUAAUCUCGAAAACCGGUCUCAGUUCGGAUCGAAGUCUGCAACUCGACUUCGUGAAGCUGGAUUCGCUAGUAAUCGCGCAUCAGCCAUGGCGCGGUGAAUACGUUCCCGGGCCUU